UGGUGCCCGAGUAGCACGGGGCUCGUGGAAUCCUGUGUGAAUCUGCCAAGACCACUUGGCUGCCUGAAUACCUCCUGAUGACCGAUAGUGGAUAGUACCGUGAGGGAAUGGUGAAAAGUACCCCGGGAGGGGAGUGAAAGAGUUCCUGAAACCGUGCGCUUACAAUCCGUCAGAGCACCGUUUGUGUGUGAUGGCGUGCCUUUUGAAGAAUGAGCCUGCGAGUCAGCGGCAUGUCGCGAGGUUAACCCGUUAUGUGGGGUAGUCGUAGCGAAAGCGAAUCCUAAUUGGGUGUUGUAAGUGGCAUGUCCUGGACCCGAAGCGGGGUGAUCU
Molecule: ribosomal RNA, 330 nt
Filed under: Ctenophora environmental sample
Lineage: Eukaryota; Metazoa; Ctenophora
Description: partial Bacterial large subunit ribosomal RNA
Rfam family: Bacterial large subunit ribosomal RNA
Source: RNAcentral